GCAUAUCAAUAAGCGGAGGAAAAGAAACUAACAAGGAUUCCCUUAGUAACGGCGAGUGAAGCGGGAAGAGCUCAAAUUUGAAAUCUUCAAGGUUCUACCUUGACGAAUUGUAGUUUAAAGAAGUGUUUUCUGUUAGAUGAGUAGCAAAAGUUCCUUGGAAUGGGACAUCAUAGAGGGUGAGAAUCCCGUAUUUGGUUAUUCAUUCUAGCUUUGUGAUACACUUUCAAAGAGUCGGAUUGUUUGGGAAUGCAGUCCAAAAUGGGUGGUAAAUUUCAUCUAAAGCUAAAUAUUGGCGAGAGACCGAUAGCGAACAAGUACCGUGAGGGAAAGAUGAAAAGAACUUUGAAAAGAGAGUUAAACAGUACGUGAAAUUGUCAAAAGGGAAGCGUUUGACACCAGUGUUGUUUUUCCGAAAAUCAAUUACGAAUGGCUUGAUUUUGUGUUGUAUUGACCUUAUCAGCUUUCUGCACUUUUUUCGAGUCUUUCUUAAUGCACUUUUCGGUUAACAAGUCAACAUCAAUUUCUUUUGUUGUAAAAGAGUAUUCGGAAGGUGGCUUUCUUUUCGGAGAAAGUGUUUAUAGCCCUAUACUUCUACAAUCGGAGAGAUUGAGGUCUGCAGCGUAGAUCCUUCGGGGUUAGAUACACUUGUGCUAAGUUGUAGCUUUUCAUAGACAACUUGUUGACUAUGUUUAGUCAUGCGGCUUACUCGCAUGUGCUAUUUUACCUACGCUUAGGAUGUUGACAAAAUGGUUUUAAACGACCCGUCUUGAAACACGGACC
This 780-nucleotide ribosomal RNA is filed under the name Neocallimastix frontalis. RNAcentral describes it as "partial large subunit ribosomal RNA". It matches the Rfam family "Eukaryotic large subunit ribosomal RNA", at positions 38 to 667 of the family's 3401-position model. The record is from RNAcentral. Lineage: Eukaryota; Fungi; Neocallimastigomycota; Neocallimastigomycetes; Neocallimastigales; Neocallimastigaceae.